Molecule: long non-coding RNA, 740 nt
Organism: Lotus japonicus
Lineage: Eukaryota; Viridiplantae; Streptophyta; Magnoliopsida; Fabales; Fabaceae
Exons: 4
Source: RefSeq, a predicted model, not a curated record
GUGGCAUUGCCAAAACAUGGCGCGUAUUAUCAAAGACACAUGAAACUAGAUUGUAACAAAAAAGUGAAAUUAGAAACAACCGCUUUUGACUUUUGAUGAUUCCACUAACUAUUUAUCACACUCGUGUGUUAAUUGUUUCAAUUUGAGUACGCAGGCAUAUAAGCAAAAUCGCAGGCACAUAAGCAAAAUCACGGUAGAAGCAAGCAGAAUCCACAGACAGAGAGGAAAAGAGAAGAGAGAUGUCGGCGGCGCAGGUGGAUCCGCAUGACAAGAUGAGGGCAAGGAAGGUUCAAGAAGAACAGGAAGAACAGGAAGGGGGAAACGCCAGAGGCAGCUGAAUCACCAGCUGCCACAAAUUACCAAACACGCCACUGUUAUGUCAAAUAUGUGGAGUAUCACAGAUGCAUUCAGCAGAAGGGCGAAAAAGCACCUGAAUGUGAGAAACUGGCCACCUAUUUUAGGUCCUCUUGUCCAACCGAAUGGAUUGCAGAAUGGGAUAGAGAAAGAGCAGAGGGAAGGUUCCCUGGAGAAAUAUAGGCUAUAUAGGAAAUCCCUUUUUUUAAAGUGCAACCCUAGUGCAUAGACUUCACAAUAAAAUAGUAGACACAUUUUGUUUACUGUAUACAUUGAAAUAUAUGAGAAUAAAGAAAAAGAAUAAAUGUGAUAUUGAUGUAAUGUGAGAAGAGGAAAGUGAUAAAGAACUGUAUAUGAGUGUUGUUACUAUUCGUGGUACCCUGGAA